Molecule: long non-coding RNA, 567 nt
Filed under: Rhinopithecus bieti (black snub-nosed monkey)
Lineage: Eukaryota; Metazoa; Chordata; Mammalia; Primates; Cercopithecidae
Description: lncRNA (ENSRBIG00000045804.1)
Source: RNAcentral
CGGGAGAGGCGGGGCAGCCCCGGUCCCAGCCCCAUUUAAUUUCGCGGCGGCGGCGGUGGCGACUGCGGCGCCGCGGGCUGGAGGCCGGCGUCGGGGAAGGUCCGGGUCCCGGAUUCCGCACGAGGUGUUGACUGGCGGCAUCUGCCAGCUUCUCCCCCGCGCGCGCCGAGCCCCAGCGGCCCUGGGGCUGCACAUCCCAGAUACUUCUGCGGCGCAAGGCUACAACUGAGACCCAGAGGAGACCAGACCCCAUGGCUUCCUGGACGAGCCCCUGGUGGCUGCUGGUAGGGAUGGUCUUCAUGCACUCUACCCUGCAGGAGACCACAGCUGAGAAAUCUCCUGGAGCCUAUUUCCUUCCCGAGUUUGCACUCUCUCCUCAGGGAAGUUUUCUGGAAGACACAACAGGGGAGCAGUUCCUCACUUACCGCUAUGACGACCAGGGCAAGACAACCCCUGCAGGUGGUCCAGAGCAUGCAGACCGCCAACCAAUCCCAGAAGGAGAGGUAUGAGAUAGAAACAAUGCACUGGCUUCUUUCAUUACUUACUUUAGUAGCUGUCAAAUAAUAU